GAUGAAGAACGCAGCGAAAUGCGAUAAGUAAUGUGAAUUGCAGAAUUCAGUGAAUCAUCGAAUCUUUGAACGCACAUUGCGCCCGCCAGUAUUCUGGCGGGCAUGCCUGUCUGAGCGUCAUUUCAACCCUCAUGCCCCUAGGGCGUGGUGUUGGGGAUCGGCCAAAGCCCGCGAGGGACGGCCGGCCCCUAAAUCUAGUGGCGGACCCGUCGUGGCCUCCUCUGCGAAGUAGUGAUAUUCCGCAUCGGAGAGCGAUGAGCCCCUGCCGUUAAACCCCCAACUUUCCAAGGUUGACCUCAGAUCAGGUAGGAAUACCCGCUGAACUUAAGCAUAGCAAUAAGCGGAGGA
This 348-nucleotide unclassified non-coding RNA is filed under the name soil metagenome. Its description in RNAcentral is "partial contains 5.8S ribosomal RNA, internal transcribed spacer 2, and large subunit ribosomal RNA". The stretch from base 1 to 120 matches the Rfam family "5.8S ribosomal RNA", at positions 35 to 154 of the family's 154-position model. The record is from RNAcentral.